GAAUCUUUUGGGAAUACCAUCAAGUCAGGUU
Molecule: non-coding RNA, 31 nt
Filed under: Rattus norvegicus (Norway rat)
Lineage: Eukaryota; Metazoa; Chordata; Mammalia; Rodentia; Muridae
Source: RNAcentral